CUCUGACUUGUUUGGUAAAUAGCUGCCCUUGCAGUUAGGAGACACGUAAAGUACAUUGUUCGUUUGUGUGUCACAUCAGCCCAAGGGACUAUUAUAGACAAUUAUGAUUUUUAAUUUGUUAAACACACUUUGUAUGGUAAAACACAGCACUACCUUGGUUUGUCUUCUAUGAACAGGGCAUUUAGGUUGAAAAGCUACAUGAACCCUGCUGGUAUUGCCAUGGGAGGAUCUGGAUGCAUAAGUCCCAACUACUGCCAGGCAAGAGAUUCCUCAGGAAAAGCAGCCUUCUGCUGACUGAAGAGGAAGAAGGAAAACACAAGCCUUGCAACGCCCUAUCACUGCUGUGCAAUCCAAAUUCAGUCCUUUGGUGGCUCUGGGAAGGUGGCAGGAGCUCUGCUUGACACCAUUAACCUUGACCGUCAGGGAGGCCAAGAACCUGACCUAGGUUAAAAGUAACGCCAUAAAGCGCAGACAAGAACUUGUGCUGAUGCACAAAGGAACUGGCAGGACAGGGAGUACAUAUGAGUUUCUGGAGGAGAAUUCAUCUUCUGAUGGCCUGUGUAAACUGGAACUGAUUGAGAAACAACGCUGUAAAAUGACUGUUACCCUUGCCUGAGGAAGAACUGGUGUGCAGCCAAAGCAACGAGUUUGUGACUGCCAUAGAUGGCGAACGUGUUUUAACUUCUCCUAGAUGUGGGUGCCUCCCCUUGCAAGGGCGAAGGAAUCUCCUAGGUGUCCUUGGGAGGCCUGUGGUCUCUACCACAGCACCAUAUGCUAUACACACAGUUGGGAGUGACAGUGUGGUUUUGUAUAAAGACAUCAGGCAGUGGUUCUCUAUCCCCACUGGAGAAACUCGCCUAGCUUUAUCAAGAGAGAAAGAUUUAAGUCAAACGACCACUUUGUAUUAUGUUAAGCUCUGUUCAGUUUAAGAAAUUUCUGCCUGUAUCCCUAGUGCUGUCACCAUGCUGCAUUUCCUUAUGCAUUUACAACCCGGUCUAAUCACCUGGACUGGUGGCCAAGUCUGUGCCACUGCAGGAAGAUUACUGCUUUUAAAAUGCAAGUUAUUGGCUAAAUAGAAUCGUGGUGUAGUUGCAAACCCGUCACAUUUUGGGGCUCUUACAUGUUGUAACAAAACUGAAAUGCAAUGUCCAAUUGAUUAACCUUUUUGUCUGAAAGAGUGCUUCUGCUGCUCAGCCAGUGUGUUCUUGAAACAGAUAAUUGCAUCAGUGCUUUUCACUGGAUAGUAAAAAUGAAGAUUAACCCUUGACCAGUGUAUUUGUUCUAUGCAGGAAUUUUCCUUCAACUCUGGCCCAGACUGGCUCAUUUUACAGGCAGAGCUCAGCAGCUAGAAGAGCUGGGCUCCUCUUCUUGGCGUGCCUUAUUCUUCCACUCUCCCUUUUGCUUUUCAUACUGUCAUGUGGAUUGUUGACUGUUGGUUAAUAUAUUUCUCCUCUGGCCCUGGAUAAUGUGUCUGUUCUUCUGUUUCUCUUGACUCUGGAACUGAGAAACAAAGCAGAACAUCUCAGCAAUGCACGUUGGUUUUUUUUGACCUCGAAAAAUUGUUUUAGAGUUUGAUUUUUCUCUUUCCUCCUUCAGUGUCUCCAGUAAUCUCCAGUCUCUUGAGCUCCUCUCAUCUUCUCUUCAAGGUCUCUUCCUACUGUGUGUUCCCAGAAUUGUCAUGCAGAUAAAGAGCAGCAUCAGUUUGCUAGGAAGGGAAUUGUAUGUUUAAACAUCACCAGUCUAACACAUAUUGACUUUUAUUUUAGGAUGUAACACAUAGAACAAAUAAAAUAUAAGUUUCUGGGGCUUUCUGCUUGGUC
Coturnix japonica (Japanese quail) is the source of this 1820-nucleotide long non-coding RNA. The record is from Ensembl. NCBI's taxonomy places the organism in Eukaryota, Metazoa, Chordata, Aves, Galliformes, Phasianidae.